Molecule: ribosomal RNA, 484 nt
Filed under: uncultured bacterium
Lineage: Bacteria
Description: partial 16S ribosomal RNA
Rfam family: Bacterial small subunit ribosomal RNA
Source: RNAcentral
AUUGAACGCUGGCGGCAGGCCUAACACAUGCAAGUCGAGCGGAUGAAGGGAGCUUGCUCCUGGAUUCAGCGGCGGACGGGUGAGUAAUGCCUAGGAAUCUGCCUGGUAGUGGGGGAUAACGUCCGGAAACGGGCGCUAAUACCGCAUACGUCCUGAGGGAGAAAGUGGGGGAUCUUCGGACCUCACGCUAUCAGAUGAGCCUAGGUCGGAUUAGCUAGUUGGUGGGGUAAAAGCCUACCAAGGCGACGAUCCGUAACUGGUCUGAGAGGAUGAUCAGUCACACUGGAACUGAGACACGGUCCAGACUCCUACGGGAGGCAGCAGUGGGGAAUAUUGGACAAUGGGCGAAAGCCUGAUCCAGCCAUGCCGCGUGUGUGAAGAAGGUCUUCGGAUUGUCAAGCACUUUAAGUUGGGAGGAAGGGCAGUAAGUUAAUACCUUGCUGUUUUGACGUUACCAACAGAAUAAGCACCGGCUAACUUCGUG